Molecule: ribosomal RNA, 770 nt
Filed under: uncultured marine bacterium
Lineage: Bacteria
Description: bacterial SSU rRNA
Rfam family: Bacterial small subunit ribosomal RNA
Source: RNAcentral
UGUGCUAAUACCGGAUAAGUCUUUACGGAGAAAGCUUUAUGCACCAUUGGAUGAGCCUGCACUUGAUUAGUUUGUUGGUGGGGUAAUGGCCUACCAAGACUGUGAUCAAUAGCUGAUUUGAGAGGAUGAUCAGCCACAUUGGGACUGAGACACGGCCCAAACUCCUACGGGAGGCAGCAGUGGGGAAUCUUGCACAAUGGAGGAAACUCUGAUGCAGCGAUGCCGCGUGAGUGAAGAAGGCCUUUGGGUUGUAAAGCUCUUUCGUCGGGGAAGAAAAUGACUGUACCCGAAUAAGAAGGUCCGGCUAACUUCGUGCCAGCAGCCGCGGUAAUACGAAGGGACCUAGCGUAGUUCGGAAUUACUGGGCUUAAAGAGUUCGUAGGUGGUUGAAAAAGUUGGUGGUGAAAUCCCAGAGCUUAACUCUGGAACUGCCAUCAAAACUUUUCAGCUAGAGUACGAUAGAGGAAAGCAGAAUUUCUAGUGUAGAGGUGAAAUUCGUAGAUAUUAGAAAGAAUACCAAUUGCGAAGGCAGCUUUCUGGAUCAUUACUGACACUGAGGAACGAAAGCAUGGGUAGCGAAGAGGAUUAGAUACCCUCGUAGUCCAUGCCGUAAACGAUGUGUGUUAGACGUUGGAAAUUUAUUUUCAGUGUCGCAGCGAAAGCGAUAAACACACCGCCUGGGGAGUACGACCGCAAGGUUAAAACUCAAAUGAAUUGACGGGGACCCGCACAAGUAGUGGAGCAUGUGGUUUAAUUCGAAGAUUCGCGCA